This is an RNA transcript of Hippoglossus stenolepis (Pacific halibut), 3840 nucleotides long. It is a transcript of the gene named septin 9b, with no coding region annotated. Lineage: Eukaryota; Metazoa; Chordata; Actinopteri; Pleuronectiformes; Pleuronectidae. The record is from RefSeq and is a predicted model, not a curated record. The transcript has 12 exons.
AAAAAGUUGGUGGGAAGUCAGAGAAAAUUGCUCUUUUAAGAGAGUUGUGGUUCUUGGACUUUUCUCACUCUAUUUUUGGAAAUUUCUUCAGAUUUAACGGGAAACAGCUUAAAAGUUGGAGGACAAAGAAGUUUGGUGAUAUUUCAUGAGUGAAAAGAUGUCAGACUCUGGAGUCAAUCCACACUUGGAGGGGAUUAUUUCAGAUUUUGAAGCUCUAAAGAGGUCCUUUGAGGUGGAGGAUGUCGACACUUCAUCUCACUCCUCCCCCGGAUCCCGCCGGACGACCAGCUCCCCUCACCGCAACGCCAUGUCCCCCACCAGCAUCUACUACCGUGACCUGGGCACCGCGGCCAACAACAACAACAACCUCAACUUCACCCAGCCCCGCUCCAUCAUGGGUGGAGGAGGCUCCAAGACCCCCGAGCCUGUGUCGCGCCGCUCCGAGCUUUCCAUCGACAUCUCCUCUUCGUCCAGCAAGCAGGUGGAUAACCUCACCAGCCCCGCCUCCUCACGAUUUGUGACCAGCAGCACCGUGAAACGCCCCGAGGUCCUGGGUCACUCUAAGACCCCCGAGCUGGGCCACAAGAGGGAGGUCACUUUUGCCAAGACACCCAGUGACUCCCCUGUGAUCCGGCGCAAUGAGGGUAACAGUAACAACAACGGGACCAGCCGCCCCCCCGAGCAGAAUCACGCUCGCAAGUUUGAGCCCCCCAGUCCCGGGGAUGUACGUAAACCUGAAAUCAGCAUCACCAGAGCUCCUGCGGAGAACAACGGCCACCACCCAGCGGUGCACCACCCACACCACCCCAACCCACACCACAACACCAUCGUGACCACCUUCCGCUGCUCCUCACCGAACCAUGGACGCAGAUCCCCCAACCCAGAAAGGUCAGAGGUCAGUCUGAGCCACAGCAACAUGUCUGAGUCCGCCAAGCCCCAUCCCCCCGGGCCUCCGGUCAAAGGGGAGAAGACCCAUGGCAGCGACUUCAGCUACGUGGGCAUCGAUGCCAUCCUGGAGCAGAUGAGGAGGAAGGCCAUGAAGCAGGGUUUCGAGUUUAACAUCAUGGUUGUGGGGCAAAGUGGCCUAGGGAAGUCCACUCUGAUGAACACCCUGUUUAAAUCCAAAGUGAGCCGCAAAUCUGUUCAGCCCAGCCCAGAGGAGAGGAUCCCCAAGACCAUCGAGAUCAAGUCCGUCAGUCACGAUGUUGAGGAGAAAGGAGUGAGGAUGAAGCUGACAGUGAUCGACACUCCUGGUUUUGGAGAUCAUAUCAACAAUGAAAACUGCUGGCAGCCCAUCAUGAAGUUCAUCAACGACCAGUAUGAAGCCUACCUGCAGGAGGAGAUCCACAUCAACAGGAAGAAGAGGAUCCCAGACUCCAGGGUGCACUGCUGCAUAUACUUCAUACCUCCCACAGGCCACUGUCUCCGGCCUCUGGAUGUGGAGUUCAUGAGGCGCCUCAGCAAGGUGGUCAACAUCGUCCCCGUCAUCGCCAAGGCCGACACGCUCACCCUGGAGGAGAGGGACGACUUUAAACAGACGAUUAGAGAAGAACUACGAGCCAAUGGCAUCGACGUUUACCCUCAGAAAGAGUUUGACGAAGACGCAGAAGACAGGAUCAUCAAUGACAAAAUCAGGGAGAUGAUCCCUUUUGCUGUGGUGGGCAGUGACCAGGAGUACCAGGUGAACGGGAAGAAGAUUCUGGGCAGGAAAACAAAAUGGGGCACCAUAGAAGUUGAGAAUAUUGCACACUGUGAGUUUGCUUACCUGCGAGACCUCCUCAUCAGGACGCACAUGCAGAAUAUCAAAGACAUCACAGGCAGCAUCCACUACGAGACGUAUCGCGUUCGCAGGUUAAAUGAAUCCAACGGCCAUUUCACCUCUCUUCCCACUGUGGAGCCAAAAACCAACGGUCUGCCCGCGGAGCAGCCCGCCGUCCUGCAGGCCAACGGAGUGGCCGCCCAGCACGGAGCCCUGUCCCACGAGAUGUAGAGAGUCCUGUGUGGUGCCAAAUUAUGAUUUCAGGACACAAUAGAUACACACACACACACACACACACACACACAUUUAUAUUCUGUUUACAUGAAUAUACGGACACACACACACACACACACACACACACACUCAUGCUGUGAAGACCAUUUUUGUUACAUAGAAGGACUACCUAACCACAGCUUUUAAUUUAUCAGGAGGUUACAAGACACAGGACUCAGAGUAAAUCCCAGCAUUUUGCUUCUGUUGUGUUUUCCCCAGUUACAAUUUUGAGCAAAGUCACGUCUUCGCUGCAGAUCCACAUAUUGUACCACUUGUUUUUUUUCCCCCCUCCUGCUUUUGACUUCCCUAUGCAAUCUACAUUCAGGGUUUUUUACAAUAAACCAUGAAUGUUGUCAGGUCACAGAUAGACAGAACCAAACCAAACACGUACAGUACAUGUCUCAUUAGUCAGGUUUGUGCGUUUAUUUUUUUAGCGCUUCCACUCAUUGUCAGUGCAGCGGCCAUGCAGGGAAAAUGUGAGGGAUUUAAGAGUGAAGUUAUAGGUACAAGAUUUUGAUUGGAUUCAAUCAGGAUUAUUGUAAAAGCUGAGGAGAAACCAUAAUUCAAAAUGAAGUACAGCAUGUGGGAUGAUAUACGAUAUUAGCUCUGAACUAGAAACAACUGUAAGUGCCACUGGCCUGCUCUACUUUGUGUUGUGGCGUAUAGAUUCUAGGGUUAAGUAUAGGGAUAUUAUAGAUUAGGUUUAUAGUAUUAUGGAGGAUAUAAAGAUAUUGCUGACACCUCUGCACUGCAAAAUAAACAAAAGAAAGCAAUAGCAGUGUGGAGCAGCUUACGGGGAGAAAAACGAGUCGUCUCGUCAUUAUUCUGUUGUGUUAUGAUGUUUUUAAAUCCCUUUUAUGCCAAACCAUCCCGUCUCCUUCUAUAUAAAGACAAUAUUGUGUAACACAGUCAUACCUUGCAUUUUACAUCGCUCAUUUAUUAUUGUGUUUUUAUCGCUGUUGUUGUUCCUGGUCUAAUAUUAUUGUAUGCGAUGGGGUUGUGGAGGAAUAUGUGCAACUGUUUUUUGUUUUCUGACUGUAAACCAAAUAAAGUCAUCAAAAUCAUUUUUUUCUGUUCUAAAGAGAAGCACAUGCAGUACAUAGAGUUGUUUUAUGAAUAGGUAUUUAUGUGUAUGUUUAGUGUAAUCAGCAUAAUUCAACUUUUCAUUGUUGCAGGUCUUUAAAACAGUGACGAUCUUUUAGCUUUAGACGGUGUUUGUUUUCCGUUGCCUGCACUCACACAUUAUGUCGUACCCUGUUGCUUAUAGGCUCCACUGUAACUGGUGCCCAAGGAGCUAACCUGCCCGUGAAGUGGUCUGUGCUUGUUCAUUCAAUAUUAAUAAUUACGACAGUUGGAGCAGUUACAUUUACAUUACGAGCGAUUUUAUCACAGGAUGUUUCCUUUCCACUAACGGGAAGAAUAUGUUCCAAACAAUCUUGUAUAACACCCAUAAAUUGACACGAUGCCACUGUAUUUGUAAUGUGGAAACAAAAACUUGCUUUCAUUCAUGCACACCGGAUGUUUUAUAUAGAGGCUACGUCUGAAUUCAUAACAUCCUCCUAAUUUCCUGACAAACGUAAGUCAACAGUGUUUGUUUUGCGCCUUCGUGUCCCAUUCAAAAUAUUUUCUGUACACGCAAAGAGAAGAGAUGACUAUUGUCCUUUAUGCAGAGAAAGUUAUUGGGUUACACUUUGUUUACUGUUGUAUAGUUCUUGUGUAAUUUGUUAUGGUAUCAUAGAUCAAGGUUUCAUCUUUGAUAUGCUAUAUCUCAAAGAAUAAAGAUUGAUAUUUUUAUUGUUUAAAGUCAA